Molecule: transfer RNA, 58 nt
Filed under: Metagonimus yokogawai
Lineage: Eukaryota; Metazoa; Platyhelminthes; Trematoda; Opisthorchiida; Heterophyidae
Description: tRNA-Ser
Source: RNAcentral
GCGGGUAGAUUGAGGUGAUUUGAAGUCAUUUUGUUCUCCUAGGUAGGGGAUGCCUGCU